This 229-nucleotide ribosomal RNA is filed under the name uncultured bacterium. RNAcentral describes it as "partial 16S ribosomal RNA". It matches the Rfam family "Bacterial small subunit ribosomal RNA", at positions 524 to 751 of the family's 1533-position model. The record is from RNAcentral.
UACGAAGGGGGCUAGCGUUGCUCGGAAUUACUGGGCGUAAAGCGCACGUAGGCGGCUUUCUAAGUCGGGGGUGAAAUCCUGGAGCUCAACUCCAGAACUGCCUUCGAUACUGGAGAGCUCGAGUCCGGGAGAGGUGAGUGGAACUGCGAGUGUAGAGGUGAAAUUCGUAGAUAUUCGCAAGAACACCAGUGGCGAAGGCGGCCACCUGGACAACAACUGGACGCUGAGA